This 354-nucleotide ribosomal RNA is filed under the name uncultured bacterium. RNAcentral's name for it is "bacterial SSU rRNA". It matches the Rfam family "Bacterial small subunit ribosomal RNA", at positions 8 to 350 of the family's 1533-position model. The record is from RNAcentral.
AGAGUUUGAUCAUGGCUCAGGAUGAACGCUAGCUACAGGCUUAACACAUGCAAGUCGAGGGGAAACGACAUCGAAAGCUUGCUUUUGAUGGGCGUCGACCGGCGCACGGGUGAGUAACGCGUAUCCAACCUGCCCACCACUUGGGGAUAACCUUGCGAAAGUAAGACUAAUACCCAAUGACGUCUCUAGAAGACAUCUGAAAGAGAUUAAAGAUUUAUCGGUGAUGGAUGGGGAUGCGUCUGAUUAGCUUGUUGGCGGGGUAACGGCCCACCAAGGCGACGAUCAGUAGGGGUUCUGAGAGGAAGGUCCCCCCANAUUGGAACUGAGACACGGUCCAAACUCCUACGAGAGGCA